CCUACGGGGGGCAGCAGUCGAGAAUCAUUCACAAUGGGGGAAACCCUGAUGGUGCGACGCCGCGUGGGGGCAUGAAGGUCUUCGGAUUGUAAACCCCUGUCAUGUGGGAGCAAAUUAAAAAGAUAGUACCACAAGAGGAAGAGACGGCUAACUCUGUGCCAGCAGCCGCGGUAAUACAGAGGUCUCAAGCGUUGUUCGGAAUCACUGGGCGUAAGGCGUGCGUAGGCUGUUUCGUAAGUCGUGUGUGAAAGGCGCGGGCUCAACCCGCGGACGGCACAUGAUACUGCGAGACUAGAGUAAUGGAGGGGGAACCGGAAUUCUCGGUGUAGCAGUGAAAUGCGUAGAUAUCGAGAGGAACACUCGUGGCGAAGGCGGGUUCCUGGACAUUAACUGACGCUGAGGCACGAAGGCCAGGGGAGCGAAAGGGAUUAGAUACCCUAGUAGUC
This 446-nucleotide ribosomal RNA is filed under the name uncultured bacterium. RNAcentral describes it as "partial 16S ribosomal RNA". It matches the Rfam family "Bacterial small subunit ribosomal RNA", at positions 338 to 795 of the family's 1533-position model. The record is from RNAcentral.